Mycena alexandri is the source of this 101-nucleotide non-coding RNA. Lineage: Eukaryota; Fungi; Basidiomycota; Agaricomycetes; Agaricales; Mycenaceae. The record is from the annotation of a GenBank genome assembly.
CACCCGGUCGCACACGGUGUGCACCUGCCCCACUUUGAUGUCGAGAUUGUAAGUGAGUAAGUCUCAAGCAGGAGACCCCCGUUCGACUCGGGGUCGGGUGA